Phyllopteryx taeniolatus (common seadragon) is the source of this 492-nucleotide long non-coding RNA. RefSeq lists it as uncharacterized. The transcript has 4 exons. NCBI's taxonomy places the organism in Eukaryota, Metazoa, Chordata, Actinopteri, Syngnathiformes, Syngnathidae. The record is from RefSeq and is a predicted model, not a curated record.
CAUCUCAUUGGCUACUUGCUCGGUGAAUUUCACUUCCGGUGCAGGCGUUGGCUUCUGGGGGGCGGAGCUACUGUGACUGAACCAGUCGGUGAAGGCUUCGUGGGCUUCCUGGAAGAACGUUUCAUCUUUAAUAAAAACUAAGUUCUACAGGAAACUUCAAGCGGGAGUGACAAACUUUGCCUCGCAUCUGGAGACGUGUGGUGCGAGAGAGCGAGGACUAAAGUCAUUGAUGACGGCAGACACCGACCAGAAAUCUUCUCAUGAUUGCGUUGGACUGCUUCAGGGCUUCAGCCCGGUGGGCGGCGUCAAACAAAAGCCAGUCGAUGACGUCGAUCUUCUUCUGGUCUUCCUAGUCUGCCUGUGGUGCGUGAAGUCGGCGUCUUCUCGCUCUCUCACCGUCUCCACCACCAGUUUGGUGACAGCAGCCACAUCCAAACCUAUACAAACAAAAUGACUCCAAAUGUGCCCGUCACCCCGCUGGCUGUUGAAAAU